GCCUGUCUGAAGCCUUCUCCAUUCGGACUCAGACCAUUACUCUCUCUCUCUCUCUCUCUGUGAUCGGAGCCAGCCAUGUCCGUCGGAAUCGUCACGCUCGAAAUGCGGAGCCACAACUCCACGAGUAGCGACGCCAUGAGCGGAGCGACGCCGGAAGUGAACCAGUCGCCAUACCGGAAACUCAACUCGAUCAAGAGAUAAGAUCAAUACAGGCCGAGUCUCGAGUUGCAGCCACUGCCGUCGAUCGCAAAGCCGCCGCAGCCUCAGAACCCGAUUCGCCGUCGCCGAUGACGUCUUGAGUUUUUCCGAUCCACGCCAUGAGUUUCAUCUUCGCAAACAGAAAACACCCGCAGGUAAAAUAGGAGGC
Molecule: long non-coding RNA, 367 nt
Filed under: Rosa chinensis
Lineage: Eukaryota; Viridiplantae; Streptophyta; Magnoliopsida; Rosales; Rosaceae
Description: sRNA RchiOBHm_Chr7g0212361
Source: RNAcentral